This 75-nucleotide transfer RNA is filed under the name Streptosporangiaceae bacterium. RNAcentral describes it as "tRNA-Arg". It matches the Rfam family "tRNA". Rfam says of the family: Transfer RNA (tRNA) molecules are approximately 80 nucleotides in length. Their secondary structure includes four short double-helical elements and three loops (D, anti-codon, and T loops). RNAcentral also lists the same sequence under 2 other names. The record is from RNAcentral. Lineage: Bacteria; Bacillati; Actinomycetota; Actinomycetes; Streptosporangiales; Streptosporangiaceae.
GCCCCCAUAGCUCAGGGGAUAGAGCAACGGCCUCCGGAGCCGUGUGCGCAGGUUCGAAUCCUGCUGGGGGCGCCA